This is a non-coding RNA of Pelobates cultripes (western spadefoot toad), 259 nucleotides long. The record is from the annotation of a GenBank genome assembly. NCBI's taxonomy places the organism in Eukaryota, Metazoa, Chordata, Amphibia, Anura, Pelobatidae.
UAAUAUAGGACUUCGGCGAGGCUGUUUUAUAGUAUGUUCCGGUCUAGGAGUUGUAAGGUAAGGAGAACGAGGCGGGUUAAUUUUACUGGGCGGAAGUUCAGUCAACAGGAUGUUGCGGGCCGGGCUGGGAGGAGCCUGACCAGGAACCAGAAGUUAAUUCCGGAUAUAUAGAACUAGUGGAGGUAGGUACCUGAAGGGGAGGACUCAGGGCAAGUGGGCUGGGCUCUAAACUAGAUGAAUGAGUGAGCAGGGACAAUGG